CACUGUAGGAGGAAGUGAGAGUGGGGACAAAUGCCUUGAGUGGGAGAGGGCAUGAUGUGUUCAAGGAAGAGAAAGGAGAGUGGGGCCAGAGUCCAUGAGGAGGCUGGAGACGGUUGCCAGGCACUUGAAGGCCAGGUUACAGAGUUUUCGUUUUAUCCUUAAGGGCAAAAGGAGUAAUGCUGAAAGGGAGCGAAGGAUAAAGAAAAGCUCUAGGUUAGGUAUGGGGAAAGUCCUGACCACACAGAAUCAGAAUUUGUAACUGGAGCCGGAGUCACAGAGAAAAGGCAGCUGUAUCUUUGCAGACGUGCUAAUGAUACGUACCUCCACCUGCUUCUUCACAUUCAGCCAAUAAUCACAUUUCUAAUUUUACUGAGAAAAUGGAAGCACUGGGAAGAUCGGAAGAAUCUCUUGAAUGAACUCCCUCAACUCAUAUCCAGUUCUGGAGGCCGGAAGUCUGACAUCAGUGUCACAGAGCCCAAGUCCAAGUGUCAGCAGGACUGCACUUCCUCUGGAGCUCUAGAGGAGAAUCAGCUCCUCGUCUCUUCCAGCUUCUGGUGGCUGUCAGCACUCCUUAGCCUGUGACUGCAUCACUUCAAUCUUUAAGGCUAGCUUCUUCAAAUGUCUCUCAGUCCUGUCUUCACAUUGCCUUCUCUUCUGGGUGUCUCCGUGUCAGAUCUCCCUUUACCUCUCUCUUAUAAGGACACCUGUGAUUAUGUUUAGGGCAUACCUGGAUAAUACAGAAUAAUCUCAGCGUCUCUAAAGAUCCUACGUUAAUUCCAUCUGCAAAACUUUUUUCCAAAUAAAGUAAGAUUUACAGGUUCCAGAGAUUAGGACUGUCUUGCGGGGACAUUAUUCAGCCUGCUAUAUCUUCCUUGUUCUUCCCCUUCAACUCUGGUUCUGCUUUCCAGGCUGGAUUAUGAGUCUCUUAUCUGAAUAUUGAUUUAAAACCUUGUAUUUAACUUUAUCAUGGUACAUAGAAUGAGGAUGAUGAUGUUGAUGUUGAUGAUAGCUAAGAUACAUCAAUUGCUUACAGUAUACUGGG
This 1042-nucleotide long non-coding RNA is filed under the name Equus caballus (horse). Its description in RNAcentral is "lncRNA (ENSECAG00000059496.1)". Lineage: Eukaryota; Metazoa; Chordata; Mammalia; Perissodactyla; Equidae. The record is from RNAcentral.